CGUUGGAGAUUACGACGUUGAUAGGAUACAGGUGUAAAGGCAGUAAUGUCAUAGCCGAGUAUUACUAAUAACCCAUAGGCUUAUGUAC
This 88-nucleotide ribosomal RNA is filed under the name Flavobacteriaceae bacterium. Its description in RNAcentral is "partial 23S ribosomal RNA". It matches the Rfam family "Bacterial large subunit ribosomal RNA", at positions 2836 to 2925 of the family's 2925-position model. Lineage: Bacteria; Pseudomonadati; Bacteroidota; Flavobacteriia; Flavobacteriales; Flavobacteriaceae. The record is from RNAcentral.